RNAcentral lists this unclassified non-coding RNA (343 nucleotides) under soil metagenome. RNAcentral's name for it is "partial contains 5.8S ribosomal RNA, internal transcribed spacer 2, and large subunit ribosomal RNA". The stretch from base 1 to 120 matches the Rfam family "5.8S ribosomal RNA", at positions 35 to 154 of the family's 154-position model. The record is from RNAcentral.
GAUGAAGAACGUAGCGAAAUGCGAUAAGUAAUGUGAAUUGCAGAGUUCAGUGAAUCAUCGAAUCUUUGAACGCACAUUGCGCCCGCUAGUAUUCUGGCGGGCAUGCCUGUCCGAGCGUCAUUUCAACCCUCAAGCCCCUGGGCUUGGUGUUGGGGAUCGGCGAGCCUCCGCGCCCGCCGUCCCCUAAAUCUAGUGGCGGUCUCGCUGUAGCUUCCUCUGCGUAGUAGCACACCUCGCACUGGGAAACAGCGCGGCCACGCCGUUAAACCCCCAACUUCUGAACGUUUGACCUCGGAUCAGGUAGGAAUACCCGCUGAACUUAAGCAUAUCAAUAAGCGGAGGA